Molecule: small nuclear RNA, 104 nt
Organism: Myotis myotis
Lineage: Eukaryota; Metazoa; Chordata; Mammalia; Chiroptera; Vespertilionidae
Source: RefSeq, a predicted model, not a curated record
GUGCUUGCUUCAGCAGCACAUAUACUAAAAUUAGAAUGAUACAGAGAUUAGCAUGACCCCUCCGCAAGGAUGACAUGCAAAUUCGUGAAGCAUUCCGUAUUUUA